This 134-nucleotide small nuclear RNA is filed under the name Castor canadensis (American beaver). Its description in RNAcentral is "U1 spliceosomal RNA (ENSCCNG00000013548.1)". The record is from RNAcentral. Lineage: Eukaryota; Metazoa; Chordata; Mammalia; Rodentia; Castoridae.
AUCUUUUUCUUUCAUUUUAGAACCAAAGAAUGGGAAAGCACUUCCGGAAGUGCUGACCCCUGAGAUUUCCCAAAAGUGGGAAACUCAAUGCAUAAUUUGUAGUAGUGGGGGAACUGCGUUCAUCCUCUCCCAGG